RNAcentral lists this ribosomal RNA (467 nucleotides) under uncultured bacterium. RNAcentral's name for it is "partial 16S ribosomal RNA". It matches the Rfam family "Bacterial small subunit ribosomal RNA", at positions 28 to 507 of the family's 1533-position model. The record is from RNAcentral.
GACGAACGCUGGCGGCGUGCUUAACACAUGCAAGUCGAACGGAAAGGCCCUGCUUUUGUGGGGUGCUCGAGUGGCGAACGGGUGAGUAACACGUGAGUAACCUGCCCUUGACUUUGGGAUAACUUCAGGAAACUGGGGCUAAUACCGGAUAGGAGCUCCUGCUGCAUGGUGGGGGUUGGAAAGUUUCGGCGGUUGGGGAUGGACUCGCGGCUUAUCAGCUUGUUGGUGGGUAGUGGCUUACCAAGGCUUUGACGGGUAGCCGGCCUGAGAGGGUGACCGGCCACAUUGGGACUGAGAUACGGCCCAGACUCCUACGGGAGGCAGCAGUGGGGAAUAUUGCACAAUGGGCGGAAGCCUGAUGCAGCAACGCCGCGUGCGGGAUGACGGCCUUCGGGUUGUAAACCGCUUUCGCCUGUGACGAAGCGUGAGUGUCGGUAAUGGGUAAAGAAGCACCGGCUAACUACGUG